UCAGCACUCCAUUGUCAUUGAUUCUUUGUUGUUGUUGUUGACAUACAUCCAUUUGAGGCUUAUGGACAAUGGUUUUCAUCUAAAAAUUUUGAUCGAUCGGUAACGUUGACCGCGACACGCCGUUCUGAUUUGACUAAUGAUCGACGACAACAGAAUCAUUGUCGUCCGUCCGAUUCAACGACCCGUUCUCACCCACGGCUAUGAUUGUUCCUUCUUUCAGCAACUAUGUGCCUAGUACUGGUCCUUUUUUCUCCUUCUUCUUUAAACCUUUCUUUCCCAAUUUAGGUUCUGUGAAAAAGCCAACACGGAAAAGAAAAAGAUCAGUCAUUUCAAUCCUAAUUUAUCAAGUUGGAGUUUUAAUAUCAUAAUUUCCACCAAACAGAAUUAUCAGAAAAAGAAAAAUGAAAAUCGAUAUUUGUACCUGCUGGGUCUAGAGGGCGGUGCAGGUGAUUGAGGAAAACCCUAAGACUAAGGAAGGGAUUAUUUAGAAAUUUACCGACUAUUUGCGCCGGGCGGAGAAGAUCCGAGCUGCGUUGGAUGAGGGUGGGACCGGGCCAGGUCAGAAUGGAGGGGAUGCGGCUGUGGCGACAAGACGAAGAUGAAAACCAAGGAUGGCGAAGAUGGGGAGGAUUCUAAGGCUAUCCUUUUAAUUAGUUUUAGGCUAUAAAAUGCAUACUACAAUUUUGUAGCUAGGGGUUGAUAUUAGUUUCUACUGACCGGCCAUAAAUGAAGUUUGCUCUUAUUUAUCUCACUAUAACCCAUUGGGCUGAUCGGUAGGCCCAAUUUAGAUUUCCCAUUCAAACGGGU
This 807-nucleotide long non-coding RNA is filed under the name Nicotiana tabacum (common tobacco). Its description in RNAcentral is "long non-coding RNA (NTAB_LNC004519)". Lineage: Eukaryota; Viridiplantae; Streptophyta; Magnoliopsida; Solanales; Solanaceae. The record is from RNAcentral.